RNAcentral lists this ribosomal RNA (797 nucleotides) under uncultured Neocallimastigales. Its description in RNAcentral is "partial large subunit ribosomal RNA". It matches the Rfam family "Eukaryotic large subunit ribosomal RNA", at positions 24 to 616 of the family's 3401-position model. Lineage: Eukaryota; Fungi; Neocallimastigomycota; Neocallimastigomycetes; Neocallimastigales. The record is from RNAcentral.
ACGACUACAUAUCAGGCAUAUCAAUAAGCGGAGGAAAAGAAACUAACAAGGAUUCCCCUAGUAACGGCGAGUGAAGCGGGAAGAGCUCAAAUUUGAAAUCUUAAAGGGUUUUCCCUUGACGGAAUUGUAGUUUAAAGAAGUGUUUUUCUGUUGGAAGUUUUCGGUAAAAAGUUCUUUGGAAUAGGACAUCAUAGAGGGUGAGAAUCCCGUAUUUGACCAGUUACUUUUCCAGCUGUGUGAUACACUUUCAAAGAGUCGGAUUGUUUUGGGAAUGCAGUCCAAAAAUGGGUGGUAAAUUUCAUCUAAAGCUAAAUAUUGGCGAGAGACCGAUAGCGAACAAGUACCGUGAGGGAAAGAUGAAAAGAACUUUGAAAAAGAGAGUUAAAACAGUACGUGAAAAUUGUCAAAAGGGAAGCGUUUUGACACCAGUGUUGUUUUUCUCGAAAAAUCAAUUAAAAAGAGUUGGAUUUUUGUGUUGUAUUGACCUUAACAGCUUGCUUCACUCUUUUCCAGCUUUUUUUUAAUGCACUUUUCGUUUAACAAGUCAACAUCAGUUUUCUUUUGUUGUAAAAAGGGUCAUUGGAAGGUGGCUUUCUCUUCGGAGAAAGUGUUUUAUAGCCUUUGAUCUCUGCAAUCGGAGAGACUGAGGUCUCGCAGCGUAGAUCCUUCGGGGUUAGAUACAUUUGUGCUAAGCUACAGCUUUUUCAUAGACAACUUGUUGACUAUGUUUAGUCUUGUAACUUACCCGCUUAUGCUAUUUUACCUACGCUUAGGAUGUUGAGCGCAUGUCUCUCUCU